RNAcentral lists this ribosomal RNA (254 nucleotides) under uncultured bacterium. Its description in RNAcentral is "partial 16S ribosomal RNA". It matches the Rfam family "Bacterial small subunit ribosomal RNA", at positions 524 to 776 of the family's 1533-position model. The record is from RNAcentral.
UACGUAGGUGGCAAGCGUUAUCCGGAAUCACUGGGCGUAAAGCGCACGCAGGCGGAUCGUUAAGUCAGGGGUGAAAUCCCGAGGCUCAACCUCGGAACUGCCUUUGAUACUGGCGAUCUUUGAGUCCGGGAGAGGUGAGUGGAACUCCGAGUGUAGAGGUGAAAUUCGUAGAUAUUCGGAAGAACACCAGUGGCGAAGGCGGCUCACUGGCCCGGUACUGACGCUCAUGUGCGAAAGCGUGGGGAGCAAACAGG